RNAcentral lists this ribosomal RNA (1366 nucleotides) under uncultured bacterium. RNAcentral's name for it is "16S ribosomal RNA". It matches the Rfam family "Bacterial small subunit ribosomal RNA". The record is from RNAcentral.
UUAGAGUUUGAUCCUGGCUCAAGACGAACGCUGGCGGCGUGCUUAAUACAUGCAAGUCGAACGGAGUUAAGGGUUUCGGCCUUUAACUUAGUGGCGAACGGGUGAGUAACGCGUGAAUAACCUGACUCAAAGAGGGGGAUAACAACGGGAAACUGUUGCUAAUACCGCAUGAGACCACAACACCGCAUGAUGAAGGGGUCAAAGAUUUAUCGCUUUGAGAGGGGUUCGCGUCCCAUUAGGUAGUUGGAGGGGUAACGGCCCACCAAGCCAACGAUGGGUAGCCGAGCUGAGAGGCUGAUCGGCCACACUGGAACUGAGACACGGUCCAGACUCCUACGGGAGGCAGCAGUAGGGAAUAUUGGGCAAUGGGCGCAAGCCUGACCCAGCAACGCCGCGUGAGGGAAGAAGGUUUUCGGAUUGUAAACCUCUGUCCUAUGUGACGAAGGAAGUGACGGUAGCAUAGGAGGAAGCCCCGGCUAACUACGUGCCGGCAGCCGCGGUAAUACGUAGGGGGCGAGCGUUGUCCGGAAUUACUGGGCGUAAAGGGUGCGUAGGCGGUUUGGUAAGUUGGAUGUGAAAUACCCGGGCUUAACUUGGGGGCUGCAUCCAAUACUGUCGGACUUGAGUGCAGGAGAGGAAAGCGGAAUUCCUAGUGUAGCGGUGAAAUGCGUAGAUAUUAGGAGGAACACCGGUGGCGAAGGCGGCUUUCUGGACUGUAACUGACGCUGAGGCACGAAAGCGUGGGGAGCAAACAGGAUUAGAUACCCUGGUAGUCCACGCCGUAAAACGAUGAAUAUUAGGUGUAGGGGGGUAUAGACUCCCUCUGUGCCGCAGCAAACGCAAUAAGUAUUCCGCCUGGGGAGUACGGCCGCAAGGUUGAAACUCAAAGGAAUUGACGGGGGCCCGCACAAGCAGUGGAGUAUGUGGUUUAAUUCGAAGCAACGCGAAGAACCUUACCAGGUCUUGACAUCCUACUAACGAGAUAGAGAUAUGUUAGGUGCCCUUCGGGGAAAGUAGAGACAGGUGGUGCAUGGUUGUCGUCAGCUCGUGUCGUGAGAUGUUGGGUUAAGUCCCGCAACGAGCGCAACCCUUGCUAUUAGUUGCUACGCAAGAGCACUCUAAUAGGACUGCCGUUGACAAAACGGAGGAAGGUGGGGACGACGUCAAAUCAUCAUGCCCCUUAUGACCUGGGCUACACACGUACUACAAUGGACAUAAACAGAGGGAAGCAAAACAGCGAUGUGGAGCAAACCCCUAAAAAUGUUCUCAGUUCAGAUUGCAGGCUGCAACCCGCCUGUAUGAAGAUGGAAUUGCUAGUAAUCGCAGAUCAGCAUGCUGCGGUGAAUACGUUCCCGGGCCUUGUACA